CAUAAAUAUUAUAAUGCCUAAAAUGACUCAUCUCAGUGGUGACUGUAGGCUCAGAUUUAUUGUACAGUUCAUCAACUUCCCAGCAUGUAGAAUAAUGAAUGCUUCGUUUACAUUGCUAAUUGCUGAACCAUGGUUACUGCCACCUUCAGCCCUUUCAUUUCGCAGUGUUUGCCCUGUAUAUCAGUCAGUGUUUCAAAAUGUAGUUAAAUAUCUUAAGCAACUUCUUUCUUUCAAGCAUUUAG
Molecule: small RNA, 242 nt
Filed under: Lepisosteus oculatus (spotted gar)
Lineage: Eukaryota; Metazoa; Chordata; Actinopteri; Semionotiformes; Lepisosteidae
Description: sRNA (ENSLOCG00000019682.1)
Source: RNAcentral